AUAACUUUUAUGGAUGGAAAGUAAGUUGUUGAUAUGCUCUAAGAUAAAAAGUGAGCAAUAACUUAACAUGCUUCAGUGUUUAAUUAAUAUUUGUACACAUUGGUAAGACACUAGACAAAUUGUAAGUGGUCAUAACUCUCAAGAGAGUGGAAUCUUGAGCUUUUCUUUUUUUCUUUCUCCUUAUUGCAACUCAUUCUUUAAAGAACUACUUUUUCCAUACACAUCAUCAAUUCUAUCUUUACCUUCACAGGUAUUCCUUAUAUAUAUAUUUAUAUUAUAAAGAGAACUAUGCAUCACUACGUCUACAAGUCCCACGUGAUAUCAAACAAUUCUCGAGUCUACUCAGAAGGAUACCAGAUUCGGAAAGGAAAGAUAUAUGUCAAGAAUAAUAAUCAUAGAUUUAGGGGAAUGUAUCCAAUUUCCAGAUAAACAAAGACGUUCAAGCAAGGAAGUUUGCUAGAAAUAAAUUGAUUGACAACUUCAAAUAUAACCCUUAGAUCAAAGAAGUUCAAUAGGAUCAAUAAGAAGAAAACCAGCGCAUCAGUUUGAAACAAACUCAAGUUGAGUCGAGGAAGCAUGAGGUUUACAGAAAAGGAUAUCUCAGACCCAAGACAAAGCUCACAGAACUCAAGAGCAUAAUUAAAAUACUUCCGAAUACAUUGUCCUUAAAAGAAUCGAAAGCGUGUAAAAAUAUCACUUCGUAGUCUGGAAGAGAAGUUAAACAACAUUCUUCAAGAGAGUAACAAAAGCAUAAUCGUGACUUUGCUUUAAUGCAAGUUCAUGUUGAAGUAGAUUUUGUAGAGUUCCAAAAACAAAUGCACACAACUUUGGCUAAUAGCUAAAAUAUUUCCUCAAAUAUUUUAGAAAGAUAGUUAGGUGCACAACCAAACCAAAAGCAGUUCAUAAAACCUCGGAAGUAAUCAAAUGCUUGUUCAAAAUUCUUAAAAUUUCGUAUUCAAACAAGCGUGUAUAACAUUCGUAGCAAGGAUGAAAGAGAAAAUUAAACUCCUUUUAGAAAAGAAACUCCAAGGUAAAAAUUUGCACACAAUCUGGUAAGGAAAUAAGUGGUGUGUUACAAACAAACCGGUUUCCACUAAACAAGGAAGCUUUCCAAAACUUCAUUUAAAAUGGCGCAUGCCAACUUAAAAUUAAUUUCGUCAAAAUUGGACAAUGGUUUUAAUCUCAAUCAAACAACAGAAAAUAAAUUCCGUUUAAUAUUUCGUCAAAGAGAAUUCGAAACUUCUUUAAAAGGUUCAAAACAAGACUCCAAAAGCGUUCUUGAAAUCACCAUCUCGGAAGAACAUUCAAGAAGUUUAAGAUGUACUAAAAAGGAGUCAAGCCUUGCAAGAAAGGAUCUUAAUUUAAAGUAGUUCAAACAAGAUCCACUAGACAUGAAACAUCAAACAAGUUUUAAAUUGAUCCAAAAGAAUACAAAAGUCAUAGAAAAAGACAAAUCAAUCAUUUGUAAUUUUUAAAUGACAAAUCUUUAACUAAAAACUCUUGUAGAGAUAAUGGGAGAAUAAACAAUGCACUAUCUUGAAACGAAUCAAACCGAACAGUUAGCAAUUAAUCACAUAGGCAAACCAAGUAUAAUAUGCACACCCAACCAAUGUCACACAAAUGCAUAUGAUGCAUACCUCUCCCUAGCAUGAUGCGUUUUGACGAGUGAGUGUGGGGGGUUUCGGCUAGCAUCCCUAUCGUCAAAAACAAAACCGUGAGGCCUUGUGUGCCAAAGCGGACAAUAUCGUGCUAGCGGGUGGUCUGGGCUGUUACAGGACCAAUUGAGCAGCUAGUGAACGAGUCAAAGGCCAAAUCAUACACACCAGUGAAAAAUUAUACCGAUAUCUUCUUAAUUUAUCAGGGUUUGUGAAUCUUGAUGCUGCUGCACCCGCACAUAAUGACUGUGAUAGAUUAAAACACUAAUUUGGAUAUGUGAUAAUUCACACAAUUCAGAUGUAUGUACAUAAAAUGGUUUAGAUCUAAUAAAUUAAAUAAAAAUAUGCAAAUAGUAUAUAGUAGUGGAAUUAAGCAUAUGCAAAGAAUAUAAAUUAAAGCUAGAAUGUGACCUUAUUAGCAACAUUAACAGCAUAAUAAGAGAAGACCUGUAGAGUUUAGACCUUAUAGUUAAUUUCCAAAGGAGCUUCUCUGACUGCCUCAUAUUUUUCAAGGAUAGUUUUGUCAUCAGAUUUUGAGAUGAGUUCAAAUUAUUGGAUGGGGGUGGACAAGAGUUCUAGUUGGGGACCUUAGGGAGACAUGGCUUUAAUAUAAAACUGUGUGUUAAUUAUGGCAAAAAGCAACACAUAUCUGCAAGCUGUCAAGAAAUUAAUCCAAAUGAAAUAGCAACAAGAAAUUAAUAUGUGAUCAAGAAUGUUCCUGACACACAAAGCCAAUGCAAGCAUGGACAAGAAUGGUCAGAUAAUUGCAAGUAAUUAACCUCCAAGUUCUUAAAAUCUCCUAUAUAGUUAAGUUUUAAAUGACAGGAUUAUAUCAGAAAUUAAACAAGGACUAGACUAGAAACAACUAACACAACAGCAAGGGUUGGUGACAUAUUAUUAAGAAGUCAGUCUGAAUGUAUUUCUUAACCUUUCAAAUAGCUUUGGUUGUUGAUAAAAACUUAACUAACAAUAAUAAGUAAUCUCUUCCUCCAAAUUUAAAUGAUAAAGACUAGACUAGACUAGAAUAAAGAUUGAUUGCCCUAAACUUAGAAAAAUAAGUAUCUACUUAAUUCCUUAUCAAAUUUUGUUCCGUUUAAUCGUAUCUACUUAAUUCCUUAUCAAAUUUUGUUUGCAGAAUGUACAACUUUAGAAAGAUUAGAGGGUUCCAAAAUUAAUUUUAACAUAAGGAUUAACGAAGUAAUUAUGUUAGGUAGUGUCAAUGCAAGGAUUAGAUAAAGAUGAAAGGGAGAAGAUUCUUGGAGAUUUUAGGAACAUUGUUUACUAAAAAUUAUGUAAUAUCAUCAUGCUCCUAUAAUCAUUGUUACUUUAUACCAACAUCGUUUUCCUCUUUACCUAAUGACAUAUUGGCCCUUCAGGUGUUAUAUUAUAAUAGAGUGAUGAUGAUAGUGCUUAAUCAUUGCAAGAUUAUGCUUUAGAAUCCUUAAUAUUUCAUUUCUUUUUUAUUUUUUCUUUCUCUCUAUCUCUUUACCUGAGAAGCCUGUUUAGUGAAUAGCAGAGUGCUUUGGUGAAACAUAAUAGCAGAGAGACUAAUAAUAAUUAGUUAGGAGUUAAGGCUUGUCAACCAAAAAGAGGAGCAAAUAAAGAACAGUAAUUGGUCAUUGAUGUCUAUGAAUGAAAGAUGCCCAAGUACUUAGAAAAUUUGUUGACCAACUUCAAGUCAUUAAAAUGUGAAGUAUGCAUCAGUUUCAAAUUUUGUUAUCAUUAGCAUAAAUAAGAUCAAGAAGCAGAAAUCAUAAGUAACACCCUCAUUAGCAGGAAACAUUAGGUGUAAGAAAUAACUUUUAUGGAUGGAAAGUAAGUUGUUGAUAUGCUCUAAGAUAAAAAGUGAGCAAUAACUUAACAUGCUUCAGUGUUUAAUUAAUAUUUGUACACAUUGGUAAGACACUAGACAAAUUGUAAGUGGUCAUAACUCUCAAGAGAGUGGAAUCUUGAGCUUUUCUUUUUUUCUUUCUCCUUAUUGCAACUCAUUCUUUAAAGAACUACUUUUUCCAUACACAUCAUCAAUUCUAUCUUUACUUUCACAGGUAUUCCUUAUAUAUAUAUAU
Molecule: long non-coding RNA, 3721 nt
Filed under: Arachis ipaensis
Lineage: Eukaryota; Viridiplantae; Streptophyta; Magnoliopsida; Fabales; Fabaceae
Description: long non-coding RNA (AIPA_LNC002178)
Source: RNAcentral